GCAAUAGUAAUCCUGCUCAAGUUCAGACAUUUGGAGUACAGAAUGUGCUUGGCUGAGGAGCCAGUGGUGUGAAGCCACUGUCUGUGGGAUUAUGACUGAAUGCCUCUAAAUCAGCAUCCUCCUCAAAAGGU
Ribosomal RNA from Lepisosteus oculatus (spotted gar), 131 nucleotides. It matches the Rfam family "Eukaryotic large subunit ribosomal RNA", at positions 3013 to 3155 of the family's 3401-position model. The record is from Rfam. Lineage: Eukaryota; Metazoa; Chordata; Actinopteri; Semionotiformes; Lepisosteidae.